RNAcentral lists this long non-coding RNA (995 nucleotides) under Vigna radiata. Its description in RNAcentral is "long non-coding RNA (VRAD_LNC010226)". Lineage: Eukaryota; Viridiplantae; Streptophyta; Magnoliopsida; Fabales; Fabaceae. The record is from RNAcentral.
AAGUAAUUAAAUAAACAAAUUAAAUUUAUAUAAUAAUUCAAUAACUAAACACAAAGUAUACAUAAUUAAACUAAAAACUUAAAAAAAAAACAAAAAAAAACUAAAAACUAAUAAUAAACUAAAAAAUAAAAAUAAAAUAACAUUCAGGCCUGAACGGAUGUCGCAUAUCCAUUUGGUCCUGAAACGGAAGUGGAUAGCCGUUGACAGAUACCAACAUCUGUUUCAGGGCCAAACGGUUCAUGGCCUGAUAUCUUCUUCCUCCUCUACACAUACGCAAACACUGAGAAAACACACAACAAACACAAUAUAUUCAAUACAUUUAAAAAAAUUAUAAAUCUAUAUGCAAAUGAAGCAAAGAACUAACCUCUCGUAGACCCAAGACACAAAAUGAAGCAUCACUGACCACCACACACACUAUUGCACCGCUACACUGCUGCACCGCCGAAUGACCAUCACAAACUCCCCGCACCACAAAACCAAACAAAUAUGGAGACAACGGAUCUAGUGAGAGUGGGGGGUGGGAAUUUGGAAAGAGAGAAAGUGAAACCUGAGAGAGUUGUGGGUGGGGCUGUGCAAAUCAAAAUGGGUAGGAAUAUAGAGAAUAAACAAAUGGAUAUGGAGAAGAGAAGUAAAAGUUGAGAGAUGAGAAGAAACAUAUAUGGUGAGUUAGAGUUGGGAGGUGGAAAUCUGAAAAGAGAGAAAAUGAGACUUAGGAAAGUUAAAGAUGGGACUGCGUAGGUGAAAAUAAGUAGAAAUUUAAAAUUUCAUAUUAAAGUAAAUAAAUAAGGUUAAAAAGUAAAAAAAAAAAAUUACUUUUGUAAUUAAAAUAAUUUUAGAGAGGAUAAGAAAGGUGAGAGUGGUGGUGGAAGGAGUAACACCCCGUUGAUUAUGAUUAGAAAUUGAACCUUUUAAAACCCAAAUUCCAAACAGGUUUCUAACAUUUAAAUAUAUUAUUCACGGUUGAAAAUUCAGUUUUUCAAAAGUUAAAUUUCAAU